RNAcentral lists this ribosomal RNA (449 nucleotides) under uncultured bacterium. Its description in RNAcentral is "partial 16S ribosomal RNA". It matches the Rfam family "Bacterial small subunit ribosomal RNA", at positions 338 to 795 of the family's 1533-position model. The record is from RNAcentral.
CCUACGUGUGGCAGCAGUGGGGAAUAUUGGACAAUGGGGGAAACCCUGAUCCAGCAAUGCCGCGUGUGUGAAGAAGGCCUGCGGGUUGUAAAGCACUUUCGGUUGGGAAGAAAAGUUUGGCGCCAAUACCGCCGAACCUUGACGUUACUGACAGAAGAAGCACCGGCUAACUCUGUGCCAGCAGCCGCGGUAAUACAGAGGGUGCAAGCGUUAAUCGGGCGUGCUUAGCGUGACAUGCACGUAGGUGGUGAAAUCCCCGGGCUUAACCUGGGAACUGCAUUCGAUACUACAUGGCUAGAGUAUGGUAGAGGGAAGUGGAAUUUCCGGUGUAGCGGUGAAAUGCGUAGAUAUCGGAAGGAACACCAAUGGCGAAGGCAGCUUCCUGGACUAAUACUGACACUGAGGCACGAAAGCGUGGGUAGCAAACAGGAUUAGAUACCCUAGUAGUC